Podarcis lilfordi (Lilford's wall lizard) is the source of this 74-nucleotide non-coding RNA. NCBI's taxonomy places the organism in Eukaryota, Metazoa, Chordata, Lepidosauria, Squamata, Lacertidae. The record is from the annotation of a GenBank genome assembly.
UUCUAGUUCAGUGGUAGAGCAUCUGCCUUGCAAGCAGAAGGUUCCAGGUUCAAUCCCCGGCAUCUCCAGAUAAG